GAAUCGCGAUAGGAAGUGCGAAUUGCAGAAUUCAGUGAAUCAUCGUAACUUUGAACGCAAACGGCGCUUCGGGGCUGACCCGGAGCAUGCCUCUUUGAGUGUCGGUCAAUUCUGCCUUUGGGCGAAGUGGGAGUCUGUUGUAGUCUCCUUAAGUCGAAGAACGCCUCGAUGCGUGUGAGUACAAGUGGACAUGAGCUGAUGUUUCAUCUAUCCACGAGUGGCUCUGCAAGUCGAUGGCGUUCGCAAUCCUUUUGGGAAAAACUCGACCAACGACCUCAAAUGAGGCAAGAUUACCCGCUGAACUUAA
Molecule: unclassified non-coding RNA, 307 nt
Filed under: uncultured fungus
Lineage: Eukaryota; Fungi
Description: sequence contains ITS1
Rfam family: 5.8S ribosomal RNA (bases 1-104)
Source: RNAcentral